RNAcentral lists this ribosomal RNA (172 nucleotides) under uncultured bacterium. RNAcentral describes it as "partial 16S ribosomal RNA". It matches the Rfam family "Bacterial small subunit ribosomal RNA", at positions 338 to 524 of the family's 1533-position model. The record is from RNAcentral.
CCUACGGGAGGCAGCAGUGGGGAAUAUUGGGCAAUGGGCGCAAGCCUGACCCAGCAACGCCGCGUGAGGGAGGAAGGUUUUCGGAUUGUAAACCUCUGUCGCAGGGGACGAAGGAAGUGACGGUACCCUGUAAGAAAGCCCCGGCUAACUCCGUGCCAGCAGCCGCGGUAAU